Molecule: ribosomal RNA, 586 nt
Filed under: Lactococcus lactis subsp. lactis
Lineage: Bacteria; Bacillati; Bacillota; Bacilli; Lactobacillales; Streptococcaceae
Description: bacterial SSU rRNA
Rfam family: Bacterial small subunit ribosomal RNA
Source: RNAcentral
UUGACGCUGAGGUUGGUACUUGUACCACUGGAUGAGCAGCGAACGGGUGAGUAACGCGUGGGGAAUCUGCCUUUGAGCGGGGGACAACAUUUGGAAACGAAUGCUAAUACCGCAUAAAAACUUUAAACACAAGUUUUAAGUUUGAAAGAUGCAAUUGCAUCACUCAAAGAUGAUCCCGCGUUGUAUUAGCUAGUUGGUGAGGUAAAGGCUCACCAAGGCGAUGAUACAUAGCCGACCUGAGAGGGUGAUCGGCCACAUUGGGACUGAGACACGGCCCAAACUCCUACGGGAGGCAGCAGUAGGGAAUCUUCGGCAAUGGACGAAAGUCUGACCGAGCAACGCCGCGUGAGUGAAGAAGGUUUUCGGAUCGUAAAACUCUGUUGGUAGAGAAGAACGUUGGUGAGAGUGGAAAGCUCAUCAAGUGACGGUAACUACCCAGAAAGGGACGGCUAACUACGUGCCAGCAGCCGCGGUAAUACGUAGGUCCCGAGCGUUGUCCGGAUUUAUUGGGCGUAAAGCGAGCCCAGGUGGUUUAUUAAGUCGGGUGUAAAAGGCAGUGGCUCANCCNUUGUAUGCAUUGGAAACU